Loxodonta africana (African savanna elephant) is the source of this 127-nucleotide small nucleolar RNA. Ensembl annotates it as small nucleolar RNA ACA64. NCBI's taxonomy places the organism in Eukaryota, Metazoa, Chordata, Mammalia, Proboscidea, Elephantidae. The record is from Ensembl.
ACUGUUUGAAAAUCGACUGCAGCUUUGCCCACGGCCCCAGUGAGAUUCAGCACCCAGAGCCACCAGGGGCCUCAGCUCACUGCCCACUGCCUCAGUGCGGGAUGCUGAAACCCAGGCCCUGACAGCU